GGCGCAAGCCUGAUGCAGCAACGCCGCGUGAGGGACGACGGCCUUCGGGUUGUAAACCUCUUUUGGCAGGGAAGAAGCGAAAGUGACGGUACCUGCAGAAAGAGCACCGGCUAACUACGUGCCAGCAGCCGCGGUGAUACGUAGGGUGCAAGCGUUGUCCGGAAUUAUUGGGCGUAAAGAGCUCGUAGGCGGUUUGUCGCGUCUGCUGUGAAAACCCGAGGCUCAACCUCGGGCCUGCAGUGGGUACGGGCAAACUAGAGUGCGGUAGGGGAGAUUGGAAUUCCUGGUGUAGCGGUGGAAUGCGCAGAUAUCAGGAGGAACACCGAUGGCGAAGGCAGAUCUCUGGGCCGUAACUGACGCUGAGGAGCGAAAGCAUGGGGAGCGAACA
RNAcentral lists this ribosomal RNA (388 nucleotides) under uncultured bacterium. Its description in RNAcentral is "bacterial SSU rRNA". It matches the Rfam family "Bacterial small subunit ribosomal RNA", at positions 374 to 774 of the family's 1533-position model. The record is from RNAcentral.